GUGGGGAAUAUUGCACAAUGGAGGGAACUCUGAUGCAGCAACGCCGCGUGAAGGAUGAAGGUCUUCGGAUCGUAAACUUCUGUCCUUAGGGAAGAAACAAAUGACGGUACCUUUGGAGGAAGCCCCGGCUAACUACGUGCCAGCAGCCGCGGUAAUACGUAGGGGGCAAGCGUUAUCCGGAAUUACUGGGCGUAAAGCGUACGUAGGUGGUUUAUCAAGCGUGGGGUUUAAGGCUAUGGCUCAACCAUAGUCAGCCCUGCGAACUGGUGAACUAGAGUACAGGAGGGGAAAGCGGAAUUCCUAGUGUAGCGGUGAAAUGCGUAGAUAUUAGGAGGAACACCGGUGGCGAAGGCGGCUUUCUGGACUGAAACUGACACUGAGGUACGAAAGCGUGGGUAGCAAACAGGAUUAGAAACCCUAGUAGUCC
This 427-nucleotide ribosomal RNA is filed under the name uncultured bacterium. RNAcentral describes it as "bacterial SSU rRNA". It matches the Rfam family "Bacterial small subunit ribosomal RNA", at positions 354 to 796 of the family's 1533-position model. The record is from RNAcentral.